Molecule: ribosomal RNA, 324 nt
Filed under: Triticum aestivum (bread wheat)
Lineage: Eukaryota; Viridiplantae; Streptophyta; Magnoliopsida; Poales; Poaceae
Description: partial small subunit ribosomal RNA
Source: RNAcentral
AUGGCGAGCGUGAUGACAACGGCGGGCGCGGUGUGGCACGUGCGUGGGCAUGGAGAGCCAGAGAGGGAGUGGCCCCGCGGGCGCGGAAGAAGAGCUGAAGGCUCGGGCAUGGGCGCGCAUAGGAGCGGGCAUGUGCCACGGGGUAAAUCCGAGGAGCUCAGUGGCUACCCCUGCAAUGGCCAUGACGGAUGGCGGUUCUCGGCCACGGCGAAAUACCUAACAAGAGCAAACGAGAGGGGAAACUGGGGAAAGGCAAGAGGAGAUCAUGGCGGUGUCAAUGGCACCCUAGGGGAAGACAGGGGAGCUCGGGGCGGUGCGGAUUGA